This 207-nucleotide ribosomal RNA is filed under the name uncultured bacterium. Its description in RNAcentral is "partial 16S ribosomal RNA". It matches the Rfam family "Bacterial small subunit ribosomal RNA", at positions 568 to 774 of the family's 1533-position model. The record is from RNAcentral.
UGCGCAGGCGGUUUUGUAAGUCAGAUGUGAAAUCCCCGAGCUCAACUUGGGAACUGCGUUUGAAACUACAAGACUAGAAUAUGUCAGAGGGGGGUAGAAUUCCACGUGUAGCAGUGAAAUGCGUAGAGAUGUGGAGGAAUACCAAUGGCGAAGGCAGCCCCCUGGGAUAAUAUUGACGCUCAUGCACGAAAGCGUGGGGAGCAAACA